GCCAGCGUAGCUCAGUGGUAGAGCAGUGGUUUUGUAAACCAUUGGUCGCGGGUUCGAAUCCCCCCGCUGGCUCCA
Molecule: transfer RNA, 75 nt
Filed under: Candidatus Falkowiibacteriota bacterium
Lineage: Bacteria; Candidatus Falkowiibacteriota
Description: tRNA-Thr
Rfam family: tRNA
About the family: Transfer RNA (tRNA) molecules are approximately 80 nucleotides in length. Their secondary structure includes four short double-helical elements and three loops (D, anti-codon, and T loops).
Source: RNAcentral